GUACUCCUUGGCAGCCCAUAUAUUAAAACUGGAAGGAUACAGAGAAGAGUAGCACGGCUCCCGUGCAGGGAUGACCAGAUCGUUAGUGGGGGUUAUUUUAAGCUCUU
Trichechus manatus latirostris (Florida manatee) is the source of this 107-nucleotide small nuclear RNA. NCBI's taxonomy places the organism in Eukaryota, Metazoa, Chordata, Mammalia, Sirenia, Trichechidae. The record is from RefSeq and is a predicted model, not a curated record.